RNAcentral lists this long non-coding RNA (205 nucleotides) under Vombatus ursinus (common wombat). RNAcentral describes it as "lncRNA (ENSVURG00010017814.1)". The record is from RNAcentral. Lineage: Eukaryota; Metazoa; Chordata; Mammalia; Diprotodontia; Vombatidae.
GGAUUCUAGAAGCAAGAAGAUAUGUAGAAAGGAGAAAUCAACUGGUUGUUUUCCAAGGAAUGAUGCUGUGGUUCUUUCUAAGUGUUCAUCAAUCAAGGCAGCUGGUGGCAUGAAGAUUGACUACAAGACCUCAGAAACCUGCUCUUCAGAUAAAGACUCUGACCAGGCUUUCUCAGCAUAGUCAAGUCAACAAGCAUUAUUAAGC